RNAcentral lists this unclassified non-coding RNA (302 nucleotides) under uncultured Sordariomycetes. Its description in RNAcentral is "sequence contains ITS1". The stretch from base 1 to 105 matches the Rfam family "5.8S ribosomal RNA", at positions 50 to 154 of the family's 154-position model. Lineage: Eukaryota; Fungi; Ascomycota; Sordariomycetes. The record is from RNAcentral.
GAAAUGCGAUAAGUAAUGUGAAUUGCAGAAUUCAGUGAAUCAUCGAAUCUUUGAACGCACAUUGCGCCCGCUAGUAUUCUAGCGGGCAUGCCUGUUCGAGCGUCAUUUCAACCCUCAAGCCCUGCUUGGUGUUGGGGUCCUACGGCUGCCGUAGGCCCUGAAAACUAGUGGCGGGCUCGCUAUAACUCCGAGCGUAGUAGUAACAUAUCUCGCUAGGGAGGUGUCGCGGGUUCCGGCCGUGAAAGCCCCAUCUUUUACACAAGGUUGACCUCGGAUCAGGUAGGAAUACCCGCUGAACUUAA